Molecule: RNA transcript, 2778 nt
Organism: Cavia porcellus (domestic guinea pig)
Lineage: Eukaryota; Metazoa; Chordata; Mammalia; Rodentia; Caviidae
Gene: Zc3h8
Gene name: zinc finger CCCH-type containing 8
Exons: 11
Source: RefSeq, a predicted model, not a curated record
GCGCGUGCGCGGGGCGGAGCGUGUGACCGUGCGUACUACACGGGAUUCUGUUGGUGUCGCCGCUUCUCAGUAUGUAGCUGCCCGGCUGGCGACAGGGCGGUUACUCGUGUGGUCAUGGAUUUUGAAAAUCUUUUUUCAAAACCUCCCAACCCGGCCCUCGGCAAAAGAUCGGCCCCGGACUCUGACGAAAGAAUCGAUGAUGAAAUAGAUGAUACAGAAGUUGAAGAGGCUCAAGAAGAAAAAAUAAAAUGGGAAGUUAAACUGGAGUGUGAACAGAUUUCCAAAAAAGUUAGGCACUUUGGAAAGUCUACAGCAUCACCGAAGAGUUUGCCAUAUAGAAAAUCAAGAAGUAAAGACUAUGAAUCAUAUAGUGAUAAUGAUACCUGCGGUCAGGAACCACAAGAUAAUUUUGAGAAAGAGCUGCAGAAGUACAUACGAGCUAAAGAAAUGGCAAAUGCUGCUCAGCCCCUACCGUCCUCUAAAGAAUCUGUGAAGAAAGAGGAAGUAAGAGAUACUAAGCUGUCUGCUAAAUCGAAAAAUACAAAUCUUAAACCUGGUCGUAAGAAUGCUAAACAGAAGAAAGUGAAACGAAAACGGGCUGGCACUGGAGACAGAGGGCCAGAUUCCUUGUUGAAGAAGAGCAGUCCCCAGGACGAGGAUGGUGAACCUAAGGAGAAGCAGCAGCCCGUGCGGAUGAGCCAGGGCUUCAUUAACCAGCACACAGUGGAACGCAAGGGCAAGAAAGUUUGCAAAUAUUUUCUUGAAAGGAAAUGUAUCAAGGGAGACCAGUGUAAGUUUGAUCAUGAUACAGAGAUGGAGAAGAAAAAGGAAAUGUGUAAGUUUUAUGUCCAGGGCUAUUGUACCCGAGGUGAAAACUGCCUGUAUUUGCAUAAUGAAUACCCCUGCAAGUUUUAUCACACAGGAACAAAAUGUUACCAGGGAGAGCACUGCAGGUUUUCCCAUGCUCCCCUGACGGCCGAAACACAGGAGCUGUUGGCUAAAGUUUUGGAUACCGAAAAGAAGACAUGUAAAUAAAGUAGACUAAAAAAGAGCCAGGAAGCAAUGCCUGAUGUAAAGACCAGAGCUCCCCCAAAGUGAACCACAGCCACUGUCACCAACAAGGUUCCAAGCUCCUCUGAUGACAACAGUCGAGCUCACACUGGGAAAGCCAGCAUGACAAGCUCCUCCAGGAGAACCAGCAGCUCAAACCAGCAACUUAAUCCUUCUCUAUGAUGCUGUCUUGAAUACCAAAAAAUGACUACGAGGAAAAAAAACCAAGGCAAAACUGAAAAUAGAUGGUGAAAGAUCACCCCAGGAGACCUGAAGAGAGUCACCGGAGUGACUGAGCACAGUGGGACAGCGCUGUGCACUCCGUGUGGUGAAAGUGCUGGGUGCUGUAUGUCAAGUGUUAGAUGGCACUUUGACACCAACCACAAAAGCGUUGCUAAACUUGGUGAAACUGAAAGAUAAAGCCAAAUUUGAAGAACUUGACUGCUCAUGGGGGUUAUUUUGGAAAUAUGAAAAUAGAGUUAUUGGAAUUUUAAGAAAACCCUGUCUGGAAAAAUAAAUUCGAUGACAUAUGAGCAACACUUGAGAAGACAGAGUGUGAAAGGAUGAUAAAGGACAGCACAGUUGGCAGUUCUGAAAAUGAAAUCCUGAGAAAAAAGUCAGCGCCUCCUGAGAAUGGGCCAUGCUGGGCCUGGGAGGAGCCCACCAAAAAGCCAACCAGCCAGGCUUUCUGCUAAGCUGUGCAAGCCACACAGGGUCCAGGAAGAGAAAAGUCAGCUCCUCCUGUCAGCCCUCAGGCACAUGGGCUGAGAAUCAACGCUCUCCUGCCCCAUAAGUAACUGGCUGGUUUGGAGGACAGGCUGAGUUGGUAGUAACUGAGGUACAAAAAGCACCUGAAUGCUUGUAUUGUUGGGCUGAUUUUGCCAGCCUGGAGCCGGAGGUCUGAGCAUCUGAGCAAGAUAGCAAAUAUGGGGGAUUUUCUUAUAUCUUGUCUUGGAAAUCCAAUAUUGUUCUCACUGUUUUGUUCUGUUCUGAUUAAUUGUUUUGCUUUAUUCAGUGUUCUGGUUUUAUUCUGUUUUGAUUUUGCUAUAUCUGAUGGAAUGGACAACUAUUGUAAAGGUAACGAGAUAUACUAUAGUAUGCAUUGUUGUUUUCCUAGUAUCUUGCUUUGAAGUUUUGUACUAAUUUCACUGCUUUGUUUUUGUUUUUUUGGUUAGUUUUGAUUGGGCUUAUUCUGUUUUGUUUUGUCGGAUUUUAUUAUCUUUAAAAUGAAAAUGAAUUCCUUGAAGUGUGGAAUUUUCUGCCAAAGAAUUUUAAAAAUCAGACAUGCAUGGUGGUGCACGCCUGUAAUCCCAGCACUCAGGAAGCUGAGGCAGGAGGAUUGUUGCAAGUUCGAGACCAGCUUGGGCUGCAAAGUGAACUCAAUGCCAGCCUGAACUGUAUAGUGAGACCCUCUCUCAAAAAGACAAAAAAAAAAAAAAAAAAAAAAAAUUCAGUCAAUGAAAGCACUGGGGAUUGCUUGUGUUACUUUGGAUCAUCUUAUGCUUGUGGGCAGCUGUUUUCAACUUUGAAUUAUAUUAAAUCUGAUACAUGAAACAGACUAACAGAUGACUUAAGUACUGCAUGUGUUGCCCUGAAACUGAUGCAGUAUGAGCCAACAUUUGACAAAUUAUCAGUAUGCAUACAACAGCAAAGAUAACAUUAAUUGUGCAAAAGCAUACCAAAUGCAAACUUUCACUUUUCAAUAAAAGGUUGUUUGUAUCAUCAAAA